CACAGGGUCUGACAGGAACUCUGCCACUCGCCACACUGAAGCCCCCACUGGACCCCAGGGAAAGAUCCACACUAGCCCUCCAGGUAGGGAGGUUGGGUGGACAUUUAAUAUUAAUUUGUGUGUGUGUCUGUAAGUGUAUGUGUGUGUCUGAAUGUGUAUGUGUGUGUCUGUGAGUGUAUGCGUGUGUCUCUCUACAUGAAUCUGUAUGUAUGGGUUUCUGUGUGUGUGUGUGUGUGUGUGUG
Molecule: non-coding RNA, 242 nt
Organism: Pelobates cultripes (western spadefoot toad)
Lineage: Eukaryota; Metazoa; Chordata; Amphibia; Anura; Pelobatidae
Source: the annotation of a GenBank genome assembly